UAUAAAGUUUUAUUUUAGCUUAAAAAUUUAUUAUUAAUAUAAUUUACAUGCAAAUUUUUGAAAGAAUUUAUAUUUAUUUAAAUAAUAAAUAUAAAAUUAAUAUUCGCAGUAAAUAAUAUUAUUAAUUAAAGAAAUUUAGAAAUAGUAAUAUUAAAUAGUAUUGACUAAAUUUGUGCCAGCAGUCGCGGUUAUACGAAUAAUGCAAUUAAAUUUGUAUAAUAUAUAGUUAAAUUAUAUUUUAUAAAAUAAAAAUAAAUUUAUAAGGUGAAAUUUUAUAUUUAUAAAGUAUUUUUAUUAAAUAAUCGACACUUAAAAAUUUUAUUUGUA
Molecule: ribosomal RNA, 327 nt
Filed under: Hydrotaea aenescens (black dump fly)
Lineage: Eukaryota; Metazoa; Arthropoda; Insecta; Diptera; Muscidae
Description: partial 12S ribosomal RNA
Source: RNAcentral